GGGAAAUGUUGCCUGGCUGUGUGCUAA
This 27-nucleotide non-coding RNA is filed under the name Homo sapiens (human). The record is from RNAcentral. Lineage: Eukaryota; Metazoa; Chordata; Mammalia; Primates; Hominidae.